Molecule: long non-coding RNA, 2330 nt
Organism: Oryza brachyantha (malo sina)
Lineage: Eukaryota; Viridiplantae; Streptophyta; Magnoliopsida; Poales; Poaceae
Exons: 4
Source: RefSeq, a predicted model, not a curated record
UCCCCUUUCUGCGGGAGUGGCAGGCGAGGUGGUUUCUCCCUGCCGACGCAAGGGGAGGGAUGAGCAGCGGCGAGAUCUUCCCUUUCUCGCGCGCGACCGUGUGAGCUCGUAUGGUGGUGUGUACGAAUCUGAGUCCAAGUUGCAAUUUUUACAUAUGUAUGGAUCUUGUACCCCCUUCUUGGUUUGUGUUCUUUCAGACGAAUUCCUGCUAUUUUCUUUUCUUGGUUGGGUGAUGCAUGGGGAGUAGAGGAGGAGUUAUUCAGUCGGAAUGCUGCAGCCAUGCAUCUUGUGCUAGAUGAUUGCCCAUCGAGAGGCAGCAUGGAGAAGGGGGGAAGCUCAAGCUCGCUCACGGCGCCCGGCAAAGUAUCCAGCAAAAGCAGGCAUUUUUCUUCCUGAUGCAAGGUGGGUGUUGGAGUUGUAUCUGGCAAUGUUGGUUAAAAACAUGACAAGUAUUUCUUGGUUACAUUCUCAAGGUAUAGCUGAAUUUGUUGGUUCAAAACGUUGUUCCAUCCCAUCAGCUAACCAUUGUAUUUGUAUUGCCUUUAUGUCUCGGGCCGACCUGAGCAACCUAAGGUCUGUCCUGUCUGGACCUCUCAAUAAGCAUGGAGAAAACCUGGAAAGAAGGCAUUCAUCUAUCCUGUCUAAACCUAUAUAUGAAUUCAUCUGGUGCUGUUAUACGAAAAGUAUUAGGCAUGCCCUCUUGAUUCUAGCGUAUCGAUGAAGAUGCAUGAGUGCGACCUCUUUUGCUCACAACCAGGCGGCAUGGACACAAACAAAUCUGAAUGUAGAAGACAGUUACUUGAUCAAGGGUGGCAUUCCAGAGACAACUAAUUCUCUGAAUGGUUGUUCUUCUCUUUGUGAUGGAGUUCAUACAUAGAAGGUUUUUACUUGUGGAAAUUUUCCCCUUUAGUCCUCAUUUCAAAGUAUUCCAAGAUGUGUGUACACUUCGACUUGCCUGUAUGAGUACAGGGGAUGGGAAUCAAAAGCUGCUAAGGCUGAGAAUUGCAGAUUUACUUGGGGACUCAGGCCAAUGGAGCAACAUGCUGUUUCUACAUCUCCGGUUUCCAAUCUGAACUAUGAGCAUUGGUCAAAACAGGAUAUAGAGCACCAUUAACCUCUUAAUUAUGUUGAUGAAUCUGUUGUUAUUAACAUAAACCUGGAUAACAAGGACAUGUCUACUAAAGGAAUGUCUCAAGUGAUGAGAUGGUUAAGAGAAAGGAAUUUCUCAAAUGAUGAUAGUAGAAUGCACCUAAAAGAAGGUUACUCUCUUUUGUUCUGGUUCUAUGUCUGAAUUAUUCUAGAAUGUAUGAGCAUGAAACUAUUUUCACUCACGCCGUUCCCUGAAUUAAAUAGCUACCUGUUUCAUUUGACAUGGACAUUUUUUUUGAGGCAAAGUUUGGCAUGGGCAUUUACAGUGCAGAUACAUAGAGGAGGGCAGCACAGUGAGUGUCAUGCGGGUUGUGUUCAAAGGAAUGAAAAAUUGUUGACGAUUAUCCCUCCAUCUCAACAUAUCUCCACUAGCUGCCAGUGGGCAAUGUUCAUCAUCCUGACUAAUAGUUUCUAUGGGCUAGUCUUAAGAUGCGAUGAUACAUCGAAUAUCGAUGAGAUACCAGUCUAAGUUCUCGCCAAGUAUGGACGGCAAUCUUCUUGAGGCUGGGGUUAGUGGAGGUUGCGCCUCAGCCCUCUACUGACCGCUUUCUAAGGUGGUGGAGCAAAGCGAAAGGGGAUUAACUCUUUGGUGACCCUAGUAGUUUGGGAGAUUUGGAAGCACCGCAAUGAUUGUGUCUUCAAUGGUGCCAAUCCUAAAAUUGUGCUGGUCUUGCAAGUGGUAGAAAAUGAGGGUUAUCUUUGGUGUGCUGCAGGAGCUUCUGGCCUUCAAAAGCUCCUUAGUGGGAUGACAAGCCUAGGGAAGCUUACACUCCAGGUGGCCUAGUGUGUGUGGGUCUCACUAGGAGGGCUCGGGUCUUCCUACUCUGUAAAUAUUUUUGUGUUGUUUUUUCUUCCCCUUAAUGAAAUGAAAUGCAACUCUCCUGCGUUUUUGAGAGGAAAAAAAAAGAGAUACCACUCUAAGCUUAGUUUUGUUCUUGCAGUCACGCCAAGAAAUAGAAACCUGUCAAAAUCUUUGGGUUUAUUUUGUGGGAUGUUAAGAGUUGAAAGAAUGUGCAAAUGCAUUGCUGUGUUUAUGGUUAAGUUCAAUACGGGUGGUCUGUUGCUUGGGUUUUGAUUGUAUAGUAUUUAUAUAUUUCAUCUGUUUUUCUUUCUUUUGUGAGCUAUGGAUACUUGUAACAAGGAUGUCUUGAGUUCUAGCUACAACGGAGCUGUUUAGAGAU